UUUUCAGGCAGCGCCUUCCUGGGCGAUGUACCGACAAAAUGAACCUUAUCAAAGCCAUGACUGAUGUGGGAUAGAUUAACGUUGGUAUCGGAACCAAGACCAUGGUUGAAUUCUGGAUGAGUUAGAUUCUAAGAGAUUGGUCGAAUUUAAAUGCAGUUUGCGCUGAGAGGUGCCGCCUGAGAGGUUAAACUCAGGGCAAAACAAUGUUGAAAGGCGAAGGACGCGUCGUCCAACCCAGCUGAAUAUAAAAAGUCCUCAGCACAGUUUGUUUUCACUUAAGUUCCUUUGACCUGUCAUUAUUGAUUGCCAGGUUUUGGUGUUUUUUUUAUCUUAAUAAGGGAUAUUGUAAAAACAACAACAACAACAACAACCAGCUGAUUUUAAAUCAAUGUAGAGGAGGCCCCCUCAUCCCUCUGACAAACAACAGGUGGAGCAUUAACAUGGAGAGAAGUCAAGAGAACUGCUAAAGGUGAAGAGCUUUGGGCCUGAGCGGAGAAACAACGUGAAGGUGAGGGACUGGAUCUGCCUCCUGGACUCAUUGGCCUCUUGCUUGGCCUGCCUCAGAGAAUCAGUGUUGCGCUUCGCAGACUCAGUCAAAUCCACAAACUAACAUAUAUUCAAUGAACAUAUACGAUCAUGGAAUUAGUCUGAUACACAUGAUGCAGUGCAGUGUCCUGCAUCCCGGUGCUGCGCUGUGGUGUCCAGUGUGCUGAUCCCGGUGCCGCGCUGUGGUGUCCAGUGUGCUGAUGUGCCACGCCCUACACAACCAUCACUACUGGAUUCAAGGGAGUCAGGUCUUCGGCCAGGUUGUCCCUCUCCAUCAGGUACUGGUCCCUCUCCUUGCCGAUGGCAUCCAUCUGCUGCCGCAGCUCCCUCAGCUCCUCUUGGAACAGGUCAGAGGCGCGGUUGGGCUGGCCAUGCUGCUGACCCUUGAACUGGUUGAGCUCCUCCUGCAAUGCACCAUUCUGCUGCUCCAGUAAUGGAAUACUUUAUUGAUAUCCUGGGGCGUAUGCGGCCGAGCCAUGACUCUGCAGUUAUUCUAUCCUUUUCAAAUGCAGUAUCCAGUAAUCCUUGUUUGAGUACGAGUUGUCAAAUAACUGAAUAUUUUCCAUGAAAAAUGCUUUUUUGUUGCAGUUAAUGUAAACCAGCAUAGUCAUGCUGACUCUGAAUCAGAACGUAAAGUAAAGGUCGGAAUGGUCACAGAAUCCAGGCUUCUUAUUGCUGGUCCAUGAACUCAGUGACUUACCCAGCACCAGGCUUUGGAAGCCAUUAUCAACAAUUUUAGUGCUUUGAGUUUAAUGUGACUUUGAAAGCAAUCACUUAAAUAGCUGUUGCUGUCAGGGUUGCUGGAAACAGGCUGAUGCAGUGAGAAUACUUUUAAUGGCACAGAGGAGUCUUACAGCCAGACAGGUGGAGGAGGAAGCAUGUGGGUAGACAGGAAGUGAGAUACAGGCAACUAAGUCGGGUAGCAGGCAAGCAGGUAGAGUCACAGGAACAUCAAAAGACUAAACGGAAGGCUGUGUCUCAAAUCAGAUACUUCCGUUAGACAUACAAUGCAUGUAGAACACUGCGUACACCAGCAGUGAGUACACCUUGUACACGCAUAGUGUUUACUCAAAUCAAGCUGCCAUGCACUUACCAGAAAUCACGAUCUCAACAUGUGGCCACGUUUGUCUCCUGACAAAAUUUCUGCUUUUCUCACUUCUCACUUUUCUCACAAAAUUAAUGUUUGACUUCCUUGUGCACACACCAUUUACCCUUCCUCUACGUAGCCAGGAGAACGUUGAGGGUAAGAUGGUUUCUCACUCAACAUACAAUAUGUAACAAUAUGUAACAAUACUCAUAGUGUAGCAUUACUUAUAAUGUACAACCUAAAAGAACAGUUCAUACUUGAUGAUGAUGCUCUUCAACAUUCUCAAUACCAAACUGUAUAUUUUAAAUGUGGUGCCAUAAUUUAUCUCCAAUUUUAACAGUUUUUUUCCAAACAUGUUCCUCAGAAGAUCCUCAAAAGUGUAGUAAGAGAAGUGUGUGUGUGUGUGCAUGUGUGUGUGUAAGGUCAUAUUAAUUGAUGGCUAGAGACAGGCUACCAAUCCAGUAUAAAGUUGACGUAAUUCUGAGCAUGCUCCGUGUUGUCUGGGUGUGGCACGCUCUCCUCUUUGUGUCCCCAGUGAUGCUCGAUGCCUUUAAUCUUGUCCAUUUAUGCUCUUUUAGAUUUUAAAAAGGCACACAGCCAAAUUUAAUAAAUUGUGUCACAUUUGUGUCUUUCAAACACUCACUGUUACACGUCAGUCAGCAGUGUUUAUUGUAAUCUGUACUCAAUACUUUUUCUAGUGAAAUUUAUUCUCGAGUUUCCUCCUCUUAACAGACUCCGUGUCUGUUACACAUUGUAGGAAACUAUAGUAAUCUCUUUUUCAGUCGGACAUUCACAAACACUCACUUCCACACUCUCCCCCUUCGAGGUCUGCAUGAACAGGUCUGGUUCUCUGUGAAAUAAAUGUGCUAGGGUAGGUCUUUGUUCUGUAAUCUAAUCAACCUGCUUCCUCGUCAGUUACUCUCUCCUCUCCCUCCCUCCCCCUCUGUCUCAUGCCCUGCCCUGUCUUACUCUCUCUGCUCAGAGCACAUCUCACUUUCUAUUAAUUUUUCUGUUCAUGCUCCUACCAGCCCGUAUGGCCUUUGUCACAGUUUUAUAACAGUGUUUAGACGAUAUUUGCAUAUCUGCACUCUAAGUAACAACAUUUAUGUCGGGCACAUAAGCAUAUGCAAGAAAUAUAUAACUCAAUGAUUUUUGACCGGACUAUAUCAGUAAUACUAACCCUCAGCCAGAUGUUACCAUUAGCAAUUGAUCCCUCUGGUUCUUGGAGAAAUUCCCCUAGGGGCCAUAAAUUUAGUCAUACUUCUUGGACAGUGUCAGGCUACAGUAUCUGUUCCACACACGCCCUUGCUAUAUGGAAAAAUAGGUAGUUAGAAUUUGAUUCACAUAGGAGGUUAAAUACUAAAGUAUAAAGUUAAAUACUUGAACUUCCUCUCCUAUUUUAUGUUCAAGUGUUUGGUGAGGUCAGGAUUAAAAUCCAAAACAAAAGAUUGUGUAUAUAAAUGAUAUGAUGAUAUGAUAUGAUUUGAAAAGAUUUGCCAUCAACUAAUUCUGAGAAGUUUUGUAAUAAGUAAGUAAGUAUAGUUAUAGUUUUUAUUCUGUAGGGAUCCUCAUUAUAAUAAGAAUCUCACUUUUUUAUAACAAGGUGUUUUUAUUACAUGUUUUUGAGUGAUUACUAGAUACCAAUUAAUAAAGAUUUUACAAGAUAUUUUAUUGUUACAACAACAACUUAUCACUUUAUUCUUUUUUCGAGUUGUGAAGUUGUUCUGACUUUGGUGUGCUUUGGAGUCAUAAUGUGGUGAAAAACAUGGACGCUGUCAGCAAAAUUUGUUGUAUUUAUGUUUUGAGCCUUAAAACCACAAUUUGACCCCUCUUUCCAAUAUUUGCAUGUUAACGAAAAGCAAAGAAAAAGGAUCAGGUAUGACAGGCAUAAAUACAUAUUUUUAAAAAUCAAACGAAGGAAACUUCUUCACUUUCAGAUCUGUUACUAGAGAGUGGUGAGCAAUCAAGCGUCCAACCCACAGCUAGAAUUAGGUGACAGAUAGGGAUGCUGAUUUGCUUUUGCUGAGACAAAUGCUGAGCUGAUUUGAAGAAGCCACAAGGUUGGUAUGAUCCGGAAGGGCUGUGAGAUAGCUAUCAUCUGUAAAUGAUGAUGGACUCCCAGCAAAGCUGACGUGUUCCCCAUCUUGGCUGCAGAACACAUUCAGAGUGAACAGAAAUGACUGAACAGCACUUGGUAUGUGUGACCAAGAGACAUGUGUAGAAGAAGAUAGUUUUAGUUCUAUUUCUUUGUUUGAUAUUGUCUUUAAUAAAUUCCUGUUGUUCUGUUCUGUGACAAAUGUUUUUUUUUAAAUAUACCUGUAUGUAAUCUUUUGACUUAUUUAUCUAAUAAUUUACAAGUGGAUUUACCAGAAAUCCCCUCUGAUACAGAUGGUAUAUUCAAUUGGCCUGUCCUGUAUUUUUCUUGACUAGCGUUCAUCCUUGUUGUCUCUCAGACCUCUUGAUUGGCCCAGCCCACAACCUAUUGUUUCAGACUUGCCUUGAUGUAACGGUAUAAAACUGUUGACCACCAGACAGAAUUGCACCUGGUUGUGAUAUUCUGUCUCCACUGCUCCACUAAAUAAAAUACAUCUGAACCAUC
This is a long non-coding RNA of Scophthalmus maximus (turbot), 4232 nucleotides long. RefSeq lists it as uncharacterized. NCBI's taxonomy places the organism in Eukaryota, Metazoa, Chordata, Actinopteri, Pleuronectiformes, Scophthalmidae. The transcript is spliced from 5 exons. The record is from RefSeq and is a predicted model, not a curated record.